This is a small nucleolar RNA of Camelus dromedarius (Arabian camel), 154 nucleotides long. The record is from Ensembl. Lineage: Eukaryota; Metazoa; Chordata; Mammalia; Artiodactyla; Camelidae.
UCUGCACAUUGUUAGAGCUUGGGGUUGAGGCCACCGGUUGGCCGGUGAACUCACAGGUGUAGGUAGUGUGCUACACGAGGGGCAAGUUUCUCACGAACACCACGCGGGUCUCUGGCCCAAUGAGUGGCGUUUGACAGUAAUACUUGCUACAGGU